This 460-nucleotide ribosomal RNA is filed under the name uncultured bacterium. RNAcentral describes it as "partial 16S ribosomal RNA". It matches the Rfam family "Bacterial small subunit ribosomal RNA", at positions 338 to 795 of the family's 1533-position model. The record is from RNAcentral.
CCUACGGGAGACAGCAGUGAGGAAUAUUGGUCAAUGGGCUUACGCCUGAACCAGCCAAGUCGCGUGAGGGAAGACUGCCCUAUGGGUUGUAAACCUCUUUUGUCAGGGAGCAAAGCAGGCUACGCGUAGCGGGACUGAGAGUACCUGAAGAAAAAGAAUCGGCUAACUCCGUGCAAGCAGCCGCGGUAUUACGGAGGAUGCGAGCUUUAUCCGGAUUUAGUGGGUUAAAGGGGUGCGUAGGCGGAAUGCCAAGUCAGCGGUAAAAUCGAGGGGCCCACCCUCUCUCCGCCGUUGAAACUGGCGUUCUUGAGUGGGCGAGAAGUAUGCGGAAUGCGUGGUGUAGCGGUGAAAUGCAUAGAUAUCACGCAGAACUCCGAUUGCGAAGGCAGCAUACCGGCGCCCAACUGACGCUGAAGCACGAAAGCGUGGGUAUCGAACAGGAUUAGAUACCCCAGUAGUC